GGGAAUGUGGCUUAGUGGUAGAGUGUUUGCCUCACAUGCAUGAAGACCUGGGUUCAAUUCCUCAGAACCA
Molecule: transfer RNA, 70 nt
Filed under: Dipodomys ordii (Ord's kangaroo rat)
Lineage: Eukaryota; Metazoa; Chordata; Mammalia; Rodentia; Heteromyidae
Rfam family: tRNA
About the family: Transfer RNA (tRNA) molecules are approximately 80 nucleotides in length. Their secondary structure includes four short double-helical elements and three loops (D, anti-codon, and T loops).
Source: Rfam by way of RNAcentral